Molecule: ribosomal RNA, 253 nt
Filed under: uncultured bacterium
Lineage: Bacteria
Description: partial 16S ribosomal RNA
Rfam family: Bacterial small subunit ribosomal RNA
Source: RNAcentral
UACGUAGGGGGCAAGCGUUGUCCGGAUUUAUUGGGCAUAAAGCGCUCGCAGGUGGUUCGUUGCGUCGUGCGUGAAAGACCCCGGCUCAACUGGGGAGGGUCAUGCGAUACGGGCGGACUGGAGGCCAGUAGGGGGAUGCGGAAUUCCGGGUGUAGUGGUGGAAUGCGUAGAGAUCCGGAGGAACACCAGCGGCUAAGGCGGCAUCCUGGACUGGUCCUGACACUCAGGAGCGAAAGCGUGGGGAGCGAACAGG